UACGUAGGGUGCGAGCGUUGUCCGGAAUUAUUGGGCGUAAAGAGCUCGUAGGCGGUCUGUUGCGUCCGCUGUGAAAACUCGGGGCUUAACCCCGAGCCUGCAGUGGAUACGGGCAGACUAGAGGUAGGUAGGGGAGAAUGGAAUUCCCGGUGUAGCGGUGAGAUGCGCAGAUAUCGGGAGGAACACCGGUGGCGAAGGCGGUUCUCUGGGCCUUACCUGACGCUGAGGAGCGAAAGCGUGGGGAGCGAACAGG
RNAcentral lists this ribosomal RNA (253 nucleotides) under uncultured bacterium. Its description in RNAcentral is "partial 16S ribosomal RNA". It matches the Rfam family "Bacterial small subunit ribosomal RNA", at positions 524 to 776 of the family's 1533-position model. The record is from RNAcentral.